RNAcentral lists this ribosomal RNA (303 nucleotides) under Triticum aestivum (bread wheat). RNAcentral describes it as "partial small subunit ribosomal RNA". The record is from RNAcentral. Lineage: Eukaryota; Viridiplantae; Streptophyta; Magnoliopsida; Poales; Poaceae.
AUGUGUCGUAAAAUGGCUGCUAAUAAGAGGGCCACCGACGCUGUCAAGCUCCGCCGCAGUCGUCGCCUCACUGACAAAGGGGAUGGUCAGUUCGUGGACAUGACCACGAAGGCCAUGCGUGUCAAGGCCCGUCGCUUCGACCUGCAGCACGCCUCUCACGACCUCGUCGAAGCCCUGGAUUCCUCUGGACUCACCAGCUCCCCAGAGGAUCCGGUGCUGGACUCCGAUGCCCUUGCUCUCAUUGCCAAGCUCUGUGGCGCUGAACCGGUGGAGGUUCAGGAGGUGUCCUCGCCGGCGCCGUGA